Molecule: ribosomal RNA, 253 nt
Filed under: uncultured bacterium
Lineage: Bacteria
Description: partial 16S ribosomal RNA
Rfam family: Bacterial small subunit ribosomal RNA
Source: RNAcentral
UACGGAGGGGGCUAGCGUUGUUCGGAAUUCCUGGGCGUAAAGCGCACGUAGGCGGCUUUGUAAGUUAGAGGUGAAAGCCCGGGGCUCAACUCCGGAAUUGCCUUUAAGACUGCAUCGCUAGAAUUGUGGAGAGGUAAGUGGAAUUCCGAGUGUAGAGGUGAAAUUCGUAGAUAUUCGGAAGAACACCAGUGGCGAAGGCGACUUACUGGACAACUGUUGACGCUGAGGUGCGAAAGCGUGGGGAGCAAACAGG